Molecule: long non-coding RNA, 785 nt
Filed under: Zonotrichia albicollis (white-throated sparrow)
Lineage: Eukaryota; Metazoa; Chordata; Aves; Passeriformes; Passerellidae
Description: lncRNA (ENSZALG00000008556.1)
Source: RNAcentral
CUUAUCAGUAAACAACAUCUAAUGAGCCUUAAUGGGCUUUUUAUGGAGGGAUUGGGAAGCUUGAUAAGAGAAAUGGGAGCUGUUGGUGACAGAGGCAGUGUUGUGGUUAAUACUGUGGUUGUAAUAAUUUUUAAAUUAAUAUUAUUUUUAUUAUUGUUGGUAUGAACAUUCGGAUUCAUCAGCCCCGCUCCAUUUGGGAGAAGUUGGCAGUGCUGGAAAACCAGGAAUUCCAGGAUUUAAUGGACAGCGUGGACCAAAGGGCGAGCCAGGAGCCUCAGGGAGCGACGGCGCCUCGGGAAUUCCUGGGGAGAAAGGAGAAAAGGGAGCCAAGGGAGUUCCAGGAUUGGGAGGAUUCAAGGGACAAGCGGGAUGGCCUGGGAAGCCUGGAGGGGCCGGAGCAGCGGGACCUCGAGGGCCACAGGGAGAGCCAGGCCCACAGGUGAGCACGGNUUUUCCUAAAACCAUCUGGGUUUUAGGAAAAGAAAAAAAAGAAAAAAAAGAAAAGAAAAAAAAAAAGAAAAAAAAAAGAAAAAAAAAGAAAAAAAGAAAAAAAAAAAUCCCAGAUUCCUUCUCAGGAGGAGAAGGAUCUCAUGGAAAGCAGGAAGAUGAGUUGGACAGGAAAACAUGGAAAACCUGGCACUGGAGAUAAUUGGGAUAAUUAAGAGAAGUAUUAAAGCUUAAAUUAAAUUUAAUUUAAAUUAAAUUAGGAGAACUCUAAUUAAUGUCAGGGUUUUUAGUGCAAAAAAUAAUAUUUUUGAGCCAUUCCUGGUCUGAUCCCAGCUCCC